AAUCCAUAGGUUAAUGAGGCGAACCGGGGGAACUGAAACAUCUAAGUACCCCGAGGAAAAGAAAUCAACCGAGAUUCCCCCAGUAGCGGCGAGCGAACGGGGAGGAGCCCAGAGCCUGAAUCAGCAUGUGUGUUAGUGGAAGCGUCUGGAAAGGCGCGCGAUACAGGGUGACAGCCCCGUACACAAAAGCGCAUGUGCUGUGAGCUCGAUGAGUAGGGCGGGACACGUGGUAUCCUGUCUGAAUAUGGGGGGACCAUCCUCCAAGGCUAAAUACUCCUGACUGACCGAUAGUGAACCAGUACCGUGAGGGAAAGGCGAAAAGAACCCCGGCGAGGGGAGUGAAAAAGAACCUGAAACCGUGUACGUACAAGCAGUGGGAGCACAGGUUUACCUGUGUGACUGCGUACCUUUUGUAUAAUGGGUCAGCGACUUAUAUUCUGUAGCAAGGUUAACCGAAUAGGGGAGCCGUAGGGAAACCGAGUCUUAACCGGGCGUUAAGUUGCAGGGUAUAGACCCGAAACCCGGUGAUCUAGCCAUGGGCAGGUUGAAGGUUGGGUAACACUAACUGGAGGACCGAACCGACUAAUGUUGAAAAAUUAGCGGAUGACCUGUGGCUGGGGGUGAAAGGCCAAUCAAACCGGGAGAUAGCUGGUUCUCCCCGAAAGCUAUUUAGGUAGCGCCUCGUGAAUUCAUCUCCGGGGGUAGAGCACUGUUUCGGCUAGGGGGCCAUCCCGGCUUACCAACCCGAUGCAAACUGCGAAUACCGGAGAAUGUUAUCACGGGAGACACACGGCGGGUGCUAACGUCCGUCGUGAAGAGGGAAACAACCCAGACCGCCAGCUAAGGUCCCAAAGUCAUGGUUAAGUGGGAAACGAUGUGGGAAGGCCCAGACAGCCAGGAUGUUGGCUUAGAAGCAGCCAUCAUUUAAAGAAAGCGUAAUAGCUCACUGGUCGAGUCGGCCUGCGCGGAAGAUGUAACGGGGCUAAACCAUGCACCGAAGCUGCGGCAGCGAACGUAUCACUUAAAGCGAUUCAGCGGGUUACGAUUGACGGAGCGAAGCGACGUCAAAGCGUAUACAAAGUCGAGUCGGUUUAAGGAUACGUUCGUUGGGUAGGGGAGCGUUCUGUAAGCCUGUGAAGGUGGCCUGUGAGGGUUGCUGGAGGUAUCAGAAGUGCGAAUGCUGACAUAAGUAACGAUAAAGCGGGUGAAAAGCCCGCUCGCCGGAAGACCAAGGGUUCCUGUCCAACGUUAAUCGGGGCAGGGUGAGUCGACCCCUAAGGCGAGGCCGAAAGGCGUAGUCGAUGGGAAACAGGUUAAUAUUCCUGUACUUGGUGUUACUGCGAAGGGGGGACGGAGAAGGCUAUGUUGGCCGGGCGACGGUUGUCCCGGUUUAAGCGUGUAGGCUGGUUUUCCAGGCAAAUCCGGAAAAUCAAGGCUGAGGCGUGAUGACGAGGCACUACGGUGCUGAAGCAACAAAUGCCCUGCUUCCAGGAAAAGCCUCUAAGCAUCAGGUAACAUCAAAUCGUACCCCAAACCGACACAGGUGGUCAGGUAGAGAAUACCAAGGCGCUUGAGAGAACUCGGGUGAAGGAACUAGGCAAAAUGGUGCCGUAACUUCGGGAGAAGGCACGCUGACACGUAGGUGAAGUGAUUUACUCA
This 1659-nucleotide ribosomal RNA is filed under the name Salmonella enterica. RNAcentral describes it as "partial 23S ribosomal RNA". It matches the Rfam family "Bacterial large subunit ribosomal RNA", at positions 161 to 1773 of the family's 2925-position model. The record is from RNAcentral. Lineage: Bacteria; Pseudomonadati; Pseudomonadota; Gammaproteobacteria; Enterobacterales; Enterobacteriaceae. RNAcentral also lists the same sequence under 1 other name.